GAUGAACGCUGGCGGCGUGCCUAAUACAUGCAAGUCGAGCGAACGGACGAGAAGCUUGCUUCUCUGAUGUUAGCGGCGGACGGGUGAGUAACACGUGGAUAACCUACCUAUAAGACUGGGAUAACUUCGGGAAACCGGAGCUAAUACCGGAUAAUAUUUUGAACCGUAUGGUUCAAAAGUGAAAGACGGUCUUGCUGUCACUUAUAGAUGAAUCCGCGCUGCAUUAGCUAGUUGGUAAGGUAACGGCUUACCAAGGCAACGAUGCAUAGCCGACCUGAGAGGGUGAUCGGCCACACUGGAACUGAGACACGGUCCAGACUCCUACGGGAGGCAGCAGUAGGGAAUCUUCCGCAAUGGGCGAAAGCCUGACGGAGCAACGCCGCGUGAGUGAUGAAGGUCUUCGGAUCGUAAAACUCUGUUAUUAGGGAAGAACAUAUGUGUAAGUAACUGUGCACAUCUUGACGGUACCUAAUCAGAAAGCCACGGCUAACUACGUGCCAGCAGCCGCGGUAAUACGUAGGUGGCAAGCGUUAUCCGGAAUUAUUGGGCGUAAAGCGCGCGUAGGGCGGUUUUUUAAGGUUUGAUGUGAAGCCCCACGGCUCAACCCGUGUGAGGGUCAUUGGAAACUGGAAAACUUGAGUGCAAAAGAGGAAAGUGGAAUUUCCAUGUGUAGCGGUGAAAUGCGCAGAGAUAUGGAGGAACACCAGUGGCGAAAGGCGACUUUCUGGUCUGUAACUGACGCUGAUGUGCGAAAGCGUGGGGAUCAAACAGGAUUAGAUACCCUGGUAGUCCACGCCGUAAACGAUGAGUGCUAAGUGUUAGGGGGUUUCCGCCCCUUAGUGCUGCAGCUAACGCAUUAAGCACUCCGCCUGGGGAGUACGACCGCAAGGUUGAAACUCAAAGGAAUUGACGGGGACCCGCACAAGCGGUGGAGCAUGUGGUUUAAUUCGAAGCAACGCGAAGAACCUUACCAAAUCUUGACAUCCUUUGACAACUCUAGAGAUAGAGCCUUCCCCUUCGGGGGACAAAGUGACAGGUGGUGCAUGGUUGUCGUCAGCUCGUGUCGUGAGAUGUUGGGUUAAGUCCCGCAACGAGCGCAACCCUUAAGCUUAGUUGCCAUCAUUAAGUUGGGCACUCUAAGUUGACUGCCGGUGACAAACCGGAGGAAGGUGGGGAUGACGUCAAAUCAUCAUGCCCCUUAUGAUUUGGGCUACACACGUGCUACAAUGGACAAUACAAAGGGCAGCGAAACCGCGAGGUCAAGCAAAUCCCAUAAAGUUGUUCUCAGUUCGGAUUGUAGUCUGCAACUCGACUAUAUGAAGCUGGAAUCGCUAGUAAUCGUAGAUCAGCAUGCUACGGUGAAUACGUCCCCGGGUCU
Molecule: ribosomal RNA, 1378 nt
Filed under: uncultured bacterium
Lineage: Bacteria
Description: bacterial SSU rRNA
Rfam family: Bacterial small subunit ribosomal RNA
Source: RNAcentral